CCCAUUCCCCACCACGACAUCACCAUCAUCAACGUCUUCAUCGCCAUCAUCUACUGUGAGGUUUCCUUCGAAUUUCGUCCCGCUUAGAUCGGCUCUAUUGUGCGCCACCAAAUUCAUCACCGUCACCACAAAUCAAACCCACAUAAAAACCAAAAAAUAAAAAUAAAACUCAAAAAAGAUCCCAUAAAAUUUUCCCAAUUCACGCCCUCUCAUGGCCUAAAACCCCAUCGAUUGCGUCAAUUAGCAACUCUUCUUUUG
This 258-nucleotide long non-coding RNA is filed under the name Actinidia chinensis (golden kiwifruit). RNAcentral describes it as "long non-coding RNA (ACHI_LNC003591)". Lineage: Eukaryota; Viridiplantae; Streptophyta; Magnoliopsida; Ericales; Actinidiaceae. The record is from RNAcentral.